Molecule: ribosomal RNA, 416 nt
Filed under: uncultured bacterium
Lineage: Bacteria
Description: bacterial SSU rRNA
Rfam family: Bacterial small subunit ribosomal RNA
Source: RNAcentral
AUUGAACGCUGGCGGAAUGCUUUACACAUGCAAGUCGAGCGGCAGCGCGGGGGCAACCCUGGCGGCGAGCGGCGAACGGGUGAGUAACAUAUCGGAACGUACCCCGUCGUGGGGGAUAACACAGCGAAAGCUGUGCUAAUACCGCAUACGACCUGAGGGUGAAAGCGGGGGAUCGCAAGACCUCGCGCGAUGGGAGCGGCCGAUAUCGGAUUAGCUUGUUGGUGAGGUAAAGGCUCACCAAGGCGACGAUCCGUAGCUGGUCUGAGAGGACGACCAGCCACACUGGAACUGAGACACGGUCCAGACUCCUACGGGAGGCAGCAGUGGGGAAUUUUGGACAAUGGGGGCAACCCUGAUCCAGCCAUUCCGCGUGAGUGAAGAAGGCCUGGUUGUAAGCUCUUUCAGCAGGAACGAAA